UACGAAGGGGGCUAGCGUUGUUCGGAUUUACUGGGCGUAAAGCGCACGUAGGCGGAUCGUUAAGUCGGGGGUGAAAUCCUGGAGCUCAACUCCAGAACUGCCUUUGAUACUGAGGAGCUUGAGUCCGGGAGAGGUGAGUGGAACUGCGAGUGUAGAGGUGAAAUUCGUAGAUAUUCGCAAGAACACCAGUGGCGAAGGCGGCUCACUGGCCCGGUACUGACGCUGAGGUGCGAAAGCGUGGGGAGCAAACAGGG
This 254-nucleotide ribosomal RNA is filed under the name uncultured bacterium. RNAcentral describes it as "partial 16S ribosomal RNA". It matches the Rfam family "Bacterial small subunit ribosomal RNA", at positions 524 to 777 of the family's 1533-position model. The record is from RNAcentral.